RNAcentral lists this ribosomal RNA (531 nucleotides) under uncultured bacterium. RNAcentral describes it as "bacterial SSU rRNA". It matches the Rfam family "Bacterial small subunit ribosomal RNA", at positions 979 to 1509 of the family's 1533-position model. The record is from RNAcentral.
CCUUGACAUACUAAGAACUUUCCAGAGAUGGAUUGGUGCCUUCGGGAACUUAGAUACAGGUGCUGCAUGGCUGUCGUCAGCUCGUGUCGUGAGAUGUUGGGUUAAGUCCCGCAACGAGCGCAACCCUUUUCCUUAUUUGCCAGCGGGUCAUGCCGGGAACUUUAAGGAUACUGCCAGUGACAAACUGGAGGAAGGCGGGGACGACGUCAAGUCAUCAUGGCCCUUACGGCCAGGGCUACACACGUGCUACAAUGGUCGGUACAAAGGGUUGCUACCUCGCGAGAGGAUGCUAAUCUCAAAAAGCCGAUCGUAGUCCGGAUCGCAGUCUGCAACUCGACUGCGUGAAGUCGGAAUCGCUAGUAAUCGCGGAUCAGAAUGCCGCGGUGAAUACGUUCCCGGGCCUUGUACACACCACCCGUCACACCAUGGGAGUUUGUUGCACCAGAAGUAGGUAGUCUAACCGCAAGGAGGACGCUUACCACGGUGUGGCCGAUGACUGGGGUGAAGUCGUAACAAGGUAGGCGUAGAUGA